GAUGAACGCUGGCGGCGUGCCUAAUACAUGCAAGUAGAACGCUGAAGGAAGGAGCUUGCUCUUUCCGGAUGAGUUGCGAACGGGUGAGUAACGCGUAGGUAACCUGCCUGGUAGCGGGGGAUAACUAUUGGAAACGAUAGCUAAUACCGCAUAACAGUAGAUGUUGCAUGAUAUCUACUUAAAAGGUGCAAUUGCACCACUACCAGAUGGACCUGCGUUGUAUUAGCUAGUUGGUGAGGUAACGGCGCACCAAGGCGACGAUACAUAGCCGACCUGAGAGGGUGAGCGGCCACCCUGGGACUGAGACACGGCCCAGACGCCUACGGGAGGCAGCAGGAGGGAAUCUUCGGCAAUGGACGGAAGUCUGACCGAGCAACGCCGAGGGAGUGAAGAAGGUUUUCGGAUCGGAAAGCUCGGUUGUAAGAGAAGAACGAGUGUGAGAGUGGAAAGUUCACACUGUGACGGUAGCUUACCAGAAAGGGACGGCUAACUACGUG
RNAcentral lists this ribosomal RNA (497 nucleotides) under uncultured bacterium. RNAcentral describes it as "partial 16S ribosomal RNA". It matches the Rfam family "Bacterial small subunit ribosomal RNA", at positions 28 to 507 of the family's 1533-position model. The record is from RNAcentral.